AAACAAAAACCCCAAAGCAAAAACAAACAAACAAACAAACAAGAGUCAAACCGAGCCACCCUUAAAUAACCCCAACCAAGGGCAGGAAAGGUGUUUUUACAAGAACUUCAAGACAUUGAAGAAAGAAAUUACAGUGAACAGUGGAUGGUGGAAAGAUUUCCUAUGCUUGUAGACUGGAAGAAUUAGUAUCAUAGCUUACCAAAAGCAAUCUUCAAAUUCCAUGUAGUGCCUAUCAAAAGUCCAGUGACAUUCUUCACAUUAUUGAAUAAAUAAUCUUUUUCGAGAAAGUCAUCUUAAAAAUGGUCCUACGUUAAUUUUAGGUAAACAUAAUACAAUAAGGCUCCUUGGGGCUUUAUUAACCUGGGUGUUCUUUGCCCUUCUUCUUUGGUGACCUCUGUCCCCAUUCCCUAGUUGAAAUUCCUCCCCCGCUUUUUUUUCUGUUUACCCUUCACAUCACCUGAACUCUGACAUUCGCACCCCACUGCUCGCUGCAAUCCCUUUAUACUUUCCUGGUUCCUGUGGUUCUCCAUAUUGUAGUCACAUCUGAGGACCUAGAGCUAGUGGCUGCCAGCAAGAAGUCAUGCUACUUGGGCUGGUAAUCCUUCCCACAAGAACCACAGACUAACAGAAAUCCCAGAACCAGGCAUGAGAAACCUCCCUCAAAUAGUUGGUCAGAGUAGCCCAAGUGACUCUCCAAACAGUGCAGACCAUUGCUAUUGCCCCUGCGGCCUCUCCAAAGUUGAAGGUAAAUGUAGCUACCACGUCUAUCAAAGAAGCUUCUCUUUACAGCGAAUGGAAAGCACAACUGGACAUAAGGCAGAGAUCAGUGGUUGGUGGGGGCCAAACGGCUACAUCCGCAGCACGGCACCUGCAUCUUUGACUCAGGGGACAUAGCAGAGGAGAUCUGAAAGAUUGAAAGAGCUGGAACAUCAGGGAGUCUGCUGAAAGACUAUCUUUUCAGAAUGCUGAAAAUAAAACUCCUAUGUGACUCAGCUGUUCUGCCCCCAUGAACAUACCCAAGGAACUCCACAUCCUACAGAGAUAUUUAUUUACGGUUACUACUGCACUAUUCACAAACCACAAGGAAAUGGAAGCAGCUUAGAUGCCCAUACACAGUGAAAACGUAGUCCAUAUCCACAAUGGGAUUUUAUUCAGCUAUAAAGCCAAUUCCUUCUCCAAGGGACCCUGUACUGCUGCUUCUACAGACUCUAGACACCUGGGUUGGUGACCUUAGCUGCUCGUUGUACCCCCUAACCAAGGAAGGGGAAGUGUUUGUGUGGACCCCAGAUCACCAAAAAGCCUUAAAAAAAAAGGCCCUACUAACGGCCAGCCUUUGCCUAACCUAACCAAGCCUUUCACUCUUUAUGUGGAAAAGAGAUCAAGAAAAGCCAGAGGAGUCCUUACUCAGACUUUGGGACUUUAAAAAAGGCCAGUGGCUUACCUAUCCAAGAAGUUACACCCUGUUGUCAGUGGGUGGUUUUCUUGCCUGAAAGCUAUUGCUGCCAUAACACUGCUUGUCAAGGAUGCUGAUAAGCUCACUCUGGGACAGCAAAGAACUGUAGUGGCACCUCACACUCUUAAAAGCAUUAUCUGAAAGCCCCCUGACUGAUGGAUGACGACCAACGCUCCUGUGACACAUCAGAACUUUUUGUUGACUGAACGAGUGACCUUCGCUUCAUUCCACCUGCUGUCCCACUGUGUGAGACCGCACCUACUCAUCACUGCGCUGACAUUCUGGCAGAAGAAAUGAUCUGAAGGAUCAGAUCAGCCUUAGCCUGAGGGCAGUAGCCUCACGGUUAAAGGUAAGCAGAAGGCAGGGACAGCAGUAUGGUGGUGAACAGAAAGCAAGUGAUCUAGGCCAGCAGCCUCCCUAAAGAGACGUUGGCCCAGAAAGCUGAACUUGUGACUUUAAGACAAGCUCUAUAAAUGGCAAAAGAAAAGUCUACACUGACAGCAGAUAUGCUUUUGCCACUGUAUAGAGCAAUAUACAGACAAAGAGGGCUGUUGACCUCUGCAGAGAAAGACCUAAGAUGCUGUGGCUAAAAAAAAAAAAAAAAAAA
This is a long non-coding RNA of Mus musculus (house mouse), 2060 nucleotides long. RefSeq annotates it as predicted gene, 26697. The transcript is spliced from 5 exons. The record is from RefSeq and is a predicted model, not a curated record. Lineage: Eukaryota; Metazoa; Chordata; Mammalia; Rodentia; Muridae.